This 403-nucleotide ribosomal RNA is filed under the name uncultured bacterium. RNAcentral's name for it is "bacterial SSU rRNA". It matches the Rfam family "Bacterial small subunit ribosomal RNA", at positions 355 to 775 of the family's 1533-position model. The record is from RNAcentral.
UGGGGAAUCUUGCACAAUGGGGGCAACCCUGAUGCAGCGACGCCGCGUGAGCGAUGAAGCCCUUCGGGGUGUAAAGCUCUUUCGGCCGGAACGAUGAUGACGGUACCGGCAGAAGAAGCUGCGGCUAACUACGUGCCAGCAGCCGCGGUAAUACGUAGGCAGCGAGCGUUGUUCGGAGUUACUGGGCGUAAAGAGUGCGUAGGCGGUGCUCUAAGUUUGGUGUGAAAUCUCCCGGCUCAACUGGGAGGGUGCGCCGGAAACUGGAAUGCUAGAGGAGGGGAGAGGUAAGCGGAAUCCCUGGUGUAGCGGUGAAAUGCGUAGAUAUCAGGAGGAACACCUGUGGUGUAGACAGCUUACUGGACCAUUUCUGACGCUGAGACACGAAAGCGUGGGUAGCAAACAG